UUCCAAUUUUAUUGUUGUCAUUGUCAUUGUUGUUAUUUGUAUUUUUGUAAUUUAAGUUGUUAUUGUUUUGCUAGAGAAAUUGCUAGAGAAAGUGCCUUUGCCCAGAAAACUGCAAAUGGGAACACGGAGUCAAAUGCAGCAAUAGAACCCCAACAACAGCAGAUUAUACUCCCAAGUAAACUCUUAAAUGAAAACUUUCAAUUCUACCUGCAUUCCUGAUCACAUUCGGAAGCCUUGACUCCAAGUUCCUGCAAUGAGAGCAAAAUGAAAAACUUAUCUCGAAAAGGUAAAGUAAGGCAUGAUGUAUAAAAUGUUCAAAGAGA
This 323-nucleotide long non-coding RNA is filed under the name Monodelphis domestica (gray short-tailed opossum). RNAcentral describes it as "lncRNA (ENSMODG00000051058.1)". Lineage: Eukaryota; Metazoa; Chordata; Mammalia; Didelphimorphia; Didelphidae. The record is from RNAcentral.